Molecule: unclassified non-coding RNA, 295 nt
Filed under: uncultured bacterium
Lineage: Bacteria
Description: partial contains 16S ribosomal RNA and 16S-23S ribosomal RNA intergenic spacer region
Rfam family: Bacterial small subunit ribosomal RNA
Source: RNAcentral
ACGCUGGCUCCAGGCCUAACACAUGCAAGUCGAGCGCCCCGCAAGGGGAGCGGCAGACGGGAGAGUAACACGUGGGAACGUACCCUUCGGUUCGGAACAACCCAGGGAAACUUGGGCUAAUACCGGAUACGUCCGAAAGGAGAAAGAUUUAUCGCCGAGGGAUCGGCCCGCGUCUGAUUAGCUAGUUGGUGGGGUAACGGCCCACCAAGGCGACGAUCAGUAGCUGGUCUGAGAGGAUGAUCAGCCUCACUGGGACUGAGACACGGCCCAGACUCCUACGGGAGGCAGCAGUGGG